Molecule: ribosomal RNA, 328 nt
Filed under: Trevathana doni
Lineage: Eukaryota; Metazoa; Arthropoda; Thecostraca; Balanomorpha; Pyrgomatidae
Description: partial 12S ribosomal RNA
Source: RNAcentral
AGAUACCCUGUUACUUAUAGUUAAAAUUUUUUGGAAUAGUAAUAAUAAUGAAAUUUAACGGAUUUGGCGGCAAGAUAGCUAUUUAGAGGAACCUGCCCUGUAAACGAUAAGCCACGAGAUACUCUACUUUUGUUUGUAAUCAGUUUGUAUACCGCUGUUGUCAGUCAGUUUUUUUAGAAAACUUUCUAUUAUGAUAAAAUCAACUACUUCAAGUAAAGGUGCAGCUUAUAUAGAAGAUAGAGGUGGGUUACAUUUAAAAUGAUUAAAACAGAUAAAGAUACUGAAAAUUCUUUUGAAGGCGGAUUUAAAUGUAAAGUUUAUGUAAACU